AACCAGAAGGCGCAAUGAAAGUGAAGGCACGGUCGCCGUGCUGAGGUGAGAGCCGGCCCCGACGGGACGGCACAUCAUCGACCGAUCCCAUCCGCACUGCUCGCAGUGUGGCGGGAUUCGAGUGAGAGUGUACCUGUUGCGACCCGAAAGAUGGUGAACUAUGCCUGAAUAGGGUGAAGCCAGAGGAAACUCUGGUGGAGGCCCGUAGCGAUUCUGACGUGCAAAUCGAUCGUCAAAUUUGGGUAUAGGGGCGAAAGACUAAUCGAACCAUCUAGUAGCUGGUUCCCUCCGAAGUUUCCCUCAGGAUAGCUGUAGCCCGAUAGCAGUUUUAUCAGGUAAAGCGAAUGAUUAGAGGUAUCGGGGAAGAAACUUUCUCGACCUAUUCUCAAACUUUAAAUAGGUAAGAAGUCCGACUUGCUCAAUCUGAAGCCGGACACAGAAUGCUGGGUUACUAGUGGGCCAUUUUUGGUAAGCAGAACUGGCGAUGCGGGAUGAACCGAACGCAGAGUUAAGGUGCCAAAGUCGACGCUCAUCAGAUCCCACAAA
This 546-nucleotide ribosomal RNA is filed under the name Dysidea sp. NZ061. RNAcentral's name for it is "eukaryotic LSU rRNA". It matches the Rfam family "Eukaryotic large subunit ribosomal RNA", at positions 705 to 1218 of the family's 3401-position model. Lineage: Eukaryota; Metazoa; Porifera; Demospongiae; Dictyoceratida; Dysideidae. The record is from RNAcentral.